UACGAAGGGUGCUAGCGUUGUUCGGAAUUACUGGGCGUAAAGCGCGCGUAGGCGGCUUAGCAAGUCAGGGGUGAAAUCCCACAGCUUAACUGUGGAAUUGCCUUUGAAACUGCUAAGCUUGAGUGUCGGAGGGGAUAGCGGAAUUGCUAAUGUAGAGGUGAAAUUCGUAGAUAUUAGCAGGAACACCGGUGGCGAAGGCGGCUAUCUGGACGACAACUGACGCUGAGGCGCGAAAGCGCGGGGAUCAAACAGG
RNAcentral lists this ribosomal RNA (253 nucleotides) under uncultured prokaryote. Its description in RNAcentral is "partial 16S ribosomal RNA". It matches the Rfam family "Bacterial small subunit ribosomal RNA", at positions 524 to 776 of the family's 1533-position model. The record is from RNAcentral.